This 73-nucleotide transfer RNA is filed under the name Actinoplanes sp. SE50/110. Its description in RNAcentral is "tRNA-Trp". It matches the Rfam family "tRNA". Rfam says of the family: Transfer RNA (tRNA) molecules are approximately 80 nucleotides in length. Their secondary structure includes four short double-helical elements and three loops (D, anti-codon, and T loops). Further hydrogen bonds mediate the characteristic L-shaped molecular structure. tRNAs have two regions of fundamental functional importance: the anti-codon, which is responsible for specific mRNA codon recognition, and the 3' end, to which the tRNAs corresponding amino acid is attached (by aminoacyl-tRNA synthetases). tRNAs cope with the degeneracy of the genetic code in two manners: having more than one tRNA (with a specific anti-codon) for a particular amino acid; and 'wobble' base-pairing, i.e. permitting non-standard base-pairing at the 3rd anti-codon position. Lineage: Bacteria; Bacillati; Actinomycetota; Actinomycetes; Micromonosporales; Micromonosporaceae. The record is from RNAcentral.
GCGGGCGUAGCUCAACGGUAGAGCGGCAGCCUCCAAAUCUGUCAGGUGCGGGUUCGAAUCCUGCUGCCCGUGC